UACAGAGGUCUCAAGCGUUGUUCGGAUUCAUUGGGCAUAAAGGGCGCGUAGGCGGCUCGGCACGUCCGUUGUGAAAUCGCCCGGCUCAACUGGGCGGGGUCAGCGGAUACGGUCGAGCUUGAGCAAGCUAGGGGGCAAUGGAAUUCCCGGUGUAGUGGUGGAAUGCGUAGAUAUCGGGAGGAACGCCCGUGGCGAAAGCGAGGUCCUGGACGUUUACUGACGCUGAGACGCGAAAGCCAGGGGAGCGAACGGG
This 253-nucleotide ribosomal RNA is filed under the name uncultured bacterium. RNAcentral describes it as "partial 16S ribosomal RNA". It matches the Rfam family "Bacterial small subunit ribosomal RNA", at positions 524 to 776 of the family's 1533-position model. The record is from RNAcentral.